RNAcentral lists this long non-coding RNA (673 nucleotides) under Anas platyrhynchos platyrhynchos (common mallard). RNAcentral's name for it is "lncRNA (ENSAPLG00000022841.1)". Lineage: Eukaryota; Metazoa; Chordata; Aves; Anseriformes; Anatidae. The record is from RNAcentral.
GUUUCUGGAGCCAGAGACAUAUCUUUUUGUCCUUUGUGUGUUUCUCUUUGCUUCAACCAAUGCCUCUUGGCGUGAAAUGAGCAGAUAUUGUGAAGAUACAGUAGGUAUCGUGAAGUUAGUGCCUGGGAAGGACUUGGUCUUUGGAAACGAUGAGCUCUCCCUCCUUGCAGCGAGAUUUAUGGCCGGGGUGGGGUGAUGGGGCAGGGUGUUGAGUUUAAAGUUCAGGAUGACCUUUGUUGUUGCCUUUCAUACCUCCGAUCAAGAGUCUUCUGGAAAUAAUGACCGUGCAACUCAAUCUGACAUCCCUGGGUCUCUGUUUCCACUGGGGCGCUGGUGGGCAGGUUCCCAGCAGCGAUCAUAUCUCCAUCUUGUGGGAGCAAAGGACCGCUAAGACUGACCAUUGCAGACCAACCAAGAGCCAUGGGAAUAACAGUUUCAGCUGGAGGGAAAGGAAGCCCUCAGCACUCCCUGCCCACUGGUGAGUUAUUUUCUUACCGUGGGGCCAGGUAGGCUUGGCCGCUGCGUUCACCACCAACCACCGACAGCCUGCAGGACAGAAGGACAAGCUCGGAAGCAGCUGCAGGAAAAAGUGUUUUCAUCCCACUUUCACUCCCCAUUUCUGGGCUUGCAGACCACAGGGAAACAGAUGGGAGGGAAAUAAAACUGACAGAUG